RNAcentral lists this ribosomal RNA (158 nucleotides) under Chloroflexota bacterium. RNAcentral describes it as "Chloroflexi bacterium partial 16S ribosomal RNA". It matches the Rfam family "Bacterial small subunit ribosomal RNA", at positions 1 to 157 of the family's 1533-position model. The record is from RNAcentral. Lineage: Bacteria; Bacillati; Chloroflexota.
UGGAUGGCGAGUUUGAUCCUGGCUCAGGAUAAACGCUGGCGGCGUGCCUAACACAUGCAAGUCGAACGCGCUCCCCUCCUUCGGGAAGGGAGCGAGUGGCGGACGGGUGAGUAAGACGUGGGUCACCUACCUUUCAGUGAGGGAUACCGGCGAGAAAU